This 423-nucleotide ribosomal RNA is filed under the name uncultured bacterium. RNAcentral describes it as "bacterial SSU rRNA". It matches the Rfam family "Bacterial small subunit ribosomal RNA", at positions 354 to 774 of the family's 1533-position model. The record is from RNAcentral.
GUGAGGAAUAUUGGUCAAUGGGGGCAACCCUGAACCAGCCAAGUCGCGUGAAGGAUGAAGGUCUUAUGGAUUGUAAACUUCUUUUAUACAGGAAUAAAUUGGGGGACGUGUCCCCUUUUGCAUGUACUGUAUGAAUAAGGAUCGGCUAACUCCGUGCCAGCAGCCGCGGUAAUACGGAGGAUCCGAGCGUUAUCCGGAUUUAUUGGGUUUAAAGGGUGCGCAGGCGGGAUGUUAAGUCGGCGGUGAAAUUUUGCAGCUCAACUGUAAAAGUGCCUUCGAUACUGGCCUCCUUGAGUGUGGAUGAAGUAGGCGGAAUUUGUGGUGUAGCGGUGAAAUGCUUAGAUAUCACGAGGAACUCCGAUUGCGCAGGCAGCUUACUAAGCCACAACUGACGCUCAUGCACGAAGGCGUGGGGAUCAAACA